GAUGAACGCUGGCGGCGUGCCUAAUACAUGCAAGUCGAGCGAACAGACGAGGAGCUUGCUCCUCUGACGUUAGCGGCGGACGGGUGAGUAACACGUGGAUAACCUACCUAUAAGACUGGGAUAACUUCGGGAAACCGGAGCUAAUACCGGAUAAUAUAUUGAACCGCAUGGUUCAAUAGUGAAAGACGGUUUUGCUGUCACUUAUAGAUGGAUCCGCGCCGCAUUAGCUAGUUGGUAAGGUAACGGCUUACCAAGGCAACGAUGCGUAGCCGACCUGAGAGGGUGAUCGGCCACACUGGAACUGAGACACGGUCCAGACUCCUACGGGAGGCAGCAGUAGGGAAUCUUCCGCAAUGGGCGAAAGCCUGACGGAGCAACGCCGCGUGAGUGAUGAAGGUCGUCGGAUCGUAAAACUCUGUUAUUAGGGAAGAACAAAUGUGUAAGUAACUAUGCACGUCUUGACGGUACCGAAUCAGAAAGCCACGGCUAACUACGUG
Molecule: ribosomal RNA, 497 nt
Filed under: uncultured bacterium
Lineage: Bacteria
Description: partial 16S ribosomal RNA
Rfam family: Bacterial small subunit ribosomal RNA
Source: RNAcentral